RNAcentral lists this ribosomal RNA (460 nucleotides) under uncultured bacterium. RNAcentral describes it as "partial 16S ribosomal RNA". It matches the Rfam family "Bacterial small subunit ribosomal RNA", at positions 338 to 795 of the family's 1533-position model. The record is from RNAcentral.
CCUACGGUGAGCAGCAGUGAGGAAUAUUGGUCAAUGGCCGGAAGGCUGAACCAGCCAUGCCGCGUGAAGGUCAGUGCCCUAUGGGCGUUAAACUUCUUUUGUGCGGGAGCAAUAAUGGUCACGUGUGGCCAGACGAGAGUACCGUACGAAUAAGCAUCGGCUAACUACGUGCCAGCAGCCGCGGUAAUACGGGGGAUGCAAGCGUUAUCCGGAUUUAUUGGGUUUAAAGGGUGGGUAGGCUGUGAGGUAAGUCAGCGGUGAAAUGCCCCCGCUCAACGGGUUGAAGUGCCAUUGAUACUGCCUUGCCGGAAUGCGGAUGCCGUGGGAGGAAUGUUUGGUGUAGCGGUGAAAUGCAUAGAUAGCACACAGAACACCGAUUGCGAAGGCAUCUCACGAAUCCGCGAUUGACGCUGAUGCACGAAAGCGUGGGUAUCAAACAGGAUUAGAUACCCCGGUAGUC